Molecule: ribosomal RNA, 253 nt
Filed under: uncultured bacterium
Lineage: Bacteria
Description: partial 16S ribosomal RNA
Rfam family: Bacterial small subunit ribosomal RNA
Source: RNAcentral
UACGGAGGGGGCGAGCGUUAUUCGGAAUUAUUGGGCGUAAAGGGCGCGUAGGCGGCUCUAUAAGUCAAAGGUGAAAUCCCUCGGCUCAACUGAGGAACUGCCUUUGAAACUGUAAAGCUUGAGGCCGGGAGGGGGUAGCGGAAUUCCCAGUGUAGCGGUGAAAUGCGUAGAUACUGGGAGGAACACCAGUGGCGAAGGCGGCUACCUGGACCGGUUCUGACGCUGAGGCGCGAAAGCGUGGGUAGCAAACAGG